RNAcentral lists this ribosomal RNA (208 nucleotides) under uncultured bacterium. Its description in RNAcentral is "partial 16S ribosomal RNA". It matches the Rfam family "Bacterial small subunit ribosomal RNA", at positions 1292 to 1500 of the family's 1533-position model. The record is from RNAcentral.
UUCGGAUUGAAGGCUGAAAUUCGCCUUCAUGAAGCUGGAAUUGCUAGUAAUGGCAGGUCAGCAUACUGCCGUGAAUACGUUCCCGGGCCUUGUACACACCGCCCGUCACACCAUGAGAGUUGGGAAUACCCGAAGCCUGUGAGCUAACUUAUAGAGGCAGCAGUCGAAGGUAGAAUCAAUGAUUGGGGUGAAGUCGUAACAAGGUAGC